CCUACGGGCGGCUGCAGUGGGGAAUAUUGGACAAUGGGGGCAACCCUGAUCCAGCAAUGCCGCGUGUGUGAAGAAGGCCUGAGGGUUGUAAAGCACUUUCAGUGGGGAGGAGGUCGUAUAGGUUAAGAGCUAGUAUGAUGGACGUUACCCACAGAAGAAGCACCGGCUAACUCCGUGCCAGCAGCCGCGGUAAUACGGAGGGUGCGAGCGUUAAUCGGAAUUACUGGGCGUAAAGGGUGCGUAGGUGGUUAAUUAAGUUAGAUGUAAAAACCCUGGGCUUAACCUGGGACUGAGAUUUAAUACUGAUUAACUGGAGUAUUGGAGAGGGUAGUGGAAUUUCCGGUGUAGCGGUGAAAUGCGUAGAGAUCGGAAGGAACACCAGUGGCGAAGGCGGCUACCUGGCCAGAUACUGACACUGAAGCACGAAAGCGUGGGGAGCAAACAGGAUUAGAUACCCCGGUAGUC
RNAcentral lists this ribosomal RNA (465 nucleotides) under uncultured bacterium. RNAcentral's name for it is "bacterial SSU rRNA". It matches the Rfam family "Bacterial small subunit ribosomal RNA", at positions 338 to 795 of the family's 1533-position model. The record is from RNAcentral.